AGAUAUUUAUCGAUGAUAAAUUUGUACUUAACCUUCUUAAAAGCCAAAGCAAGUCCCUAGCGCAAGUGGUAAAAGACUUAUUGGUUGGUAUCCGAGAUUCUAAAUUCGAAUCCUAAUUGAUUCAUAUUUCCAGCUAAGUUUAUUUUCUAAAUAAAAUAAAACUACGCGGGUAGCAUGCUAUCUAUCUCUCUCUCAAAAAA
Molecule: long non-coding RNA, 200 nt
Filed under: Ananas comosus (pineapple)
Lineage: Eukaryota; Viridiplantae; Streptophyta; Magnoliopsida; Poales; Bromeliaceae
Description: long non-coding RNA (ACOM_LNC041504)
Source: RNAcentral